GACGAACGCUGGCGGCGUGCCUAAUACAUGCAAGUUGAGCGCUGAAGGUUGGUACUUGUACCAACUGGAUGAGCAGCGAACGGGUGAGUAACGCGUGGGGAAUCUGCCUUUGAGCGGGGGACAACAUUUGGAAACGAAUGCUAAUACCGCAUAAAAACUUUAAACACAAGUUUUAAGUUUGAAAGAUGCAAUUGCAUCACUCAAAGAUGAUCCCGCGUUGUAUUAGCUAGUUGGUGAGGUAAAGGCUCACCAAGGCGAUGAUACAUAGCCGACCUGAGAGGGUGAUCGGCCACAUUGGGACUGAGACACGGCCCAAACUCCUACGGGAGGCAGCAGUAGGGAAUCUUCGGCAAUGGACGAAAGUCUGACCGAGCAACGCUGCGUGAGUGAAGAAGGUUUUCGGAUCGUAAAACUCUGUUGGUAGAGAAGAACGUUGGUGAGAGUGGAAAGCUCAUCAAGUGACGGUAACUACACAGAAAGGGACGGCUAACUACGUG
RNAcentral lists this ribosomal RNA (497 nucleotides) under uncultured bacterium. RNAcentral's name for it is "partial 16S ribosomal RNA". It matches the Rfam family "Bacterial small subunit ribosomal RNA", at positions 28 to 507 of the family's 1533-position model. The record is from RNAcentral.